GCUAGAGCUGGAGGAGAGUGGAUGGUGCUCUGGUCUGGCUGCUGGGACACCACCAGGACAAGGCCCUGAGUACAAGCUCAGCAAGUGGAAGAUGACAGACCCAAAGCUUUGCCUGCUUUAGGGGAGCAACAGAACUCCAAUAAUGGCAUAAGAUUUUGCAUUCAUCUGGGAAUCUUGGACAAAGCAGCCUGGAGGGAAAGCAUUUCUGUCGAAGAUGAGAAGACUGGGAGGUGAAAACCGCAUCUAGAAAUAAAUGCAGAGAGGAAGAGCAAAACUUUCAUUUCCAUAAAUAACGUUCGUCAAAUGUGAAGUGUUAGGCAUAUGCUUUCUUAACUAUUCUCUAAAUAUGUGGCUGAAACUGUACAAAGAAUAGAUUUUAAAAUCUUUGCAGGGGCAGAAAAUACCCUGUCAUUUUGCCUGACAAGUGUCUACAGACAUAUUGAUCACAUAGGUGCUUAGUAGCAAGGUGUUUGUAAAGAAUUUUGGAUCAAUUGAUUUUCAUGCAACCCAAAGACAAAUAAGUGCAGCAUUCAGGGAGGCUCUUAUUCAUUGUGUCUGUCUGUAAGGUUAGCGACAUCUUCACUGUUCUCGGCAACUGCCAAGUCUAUGGAAGUAUGGGUUAAUUUCCUUUAAUAUCCGUGUGAAUGCAGCUAAGCUAGCCCAACAAGGAAACUGGCAGCAUGGAGCAAAUAUACUUGUUUUUAUGGCAUACCUGAGAUUGAAUUUGUAGUGUUAUGGACAAUUUUUGUUUCAGCUGGUUCUUCAGGGGGUGGGCAGGGAGGUGUAAAAGAGGGUGAAUGUGGGUUUGUACUUCCUGAAUGUUUGAGAAUAAAUGACUUUCUAGAAGUGCAAACCCACAUUCACCCUCUUUUACACCUCACUGCCCCCCUCCGAAGAACCAGCUGAAACAAAAAUUGUCCAUAACACUAUAAAUUCAGUCUCAGGUGUGCCAUAAAAACAGGUGCAGCACUGCCCCUCAUUGCAGUAAUUACGGGAAGCCAUAUUGAUGGCUGUACUAUGUCCACUUGGAUCUUUGCAUGUUUCAGAAAUUGGUGUGGAUGUUGUGAGAGAGAACGGGGGAAUCAUGUAGCCUGAGUUCAUUUACUAUUGAAGCAUUUGCCUGUAUUUUGCCGUAGCUCACUGAGGUGCUGUAGGGAAAUACAGUGAUUCAUAGAACAGUAUUCUCACGGAGGCUGCUCAUGCAGCAAAAAGCUUGCCCUGUACCUUCGUGUACAAUUCAAAUGAAUGCCUUGGAAAUAGCAUGAUUUACGUG
Molecule: long non-coding RNA, 1273 nt
Organism: Dermochelys coriacea (leatherback sea turtle)
Lineage: Eukaryota; Metazoa; Chordata; Testudines; Dermochelyidae
Exons: 3
Source: RefSeq, a predicted model, not a curated record